GACAGAGGGUGCGAACGUUGGUCGGAAUUACUGGGCGUAAAGCGCAUGUAGGCGGCAGCGCAAGUCGGGCGUGAAAUCCCACGGCUCAACCGUGGAAGUGCACUCGAAACUGCGCAGCUAGAGUCCUGGAGAGGAAGGUGGAAUGCUUGGUGUAGAGGUGAAAUUCGUAGAUAUCAAGCGGAACACCGGUGGCGAAGGCGGCCUUCUGGACAGUGACUGACGCUGAGAUGCGAAAGCGUGGGGAGCAAACAGG
This 253-nucleotide ribosomal RNA is filed under the name uncultured bacterium. RNAcentral's name for it is "partial 16S ribosomal RNA". It matches the Rfam family "Bacterial small subunit ribosomal RNA", at positions 524 to 776 of the family's 1533-position model. The record is from RNAcentral.